This 484-nucleotide ribosomal RNA is filed under the name uncultured bacterium. RNAcentral describes it as "partial 16S ribosomal RNA". It matches the Rfam family "Bacterial small subunit ribosomal RNA", at positions 30 to 507 of the family's 1533-position model. The record is from RNAcentral.
AUUGAACGCUAGCGGGAUGCUUUACACAUGCAAGUCGAACGGCAGCGCGGACUUCGGUCUGGCGGCGAGUGGCGAACGGGUGAGUAAUGUAUCGGAACGUGCCCAGUAGCGGGGGAUAACUACGCGAAAGCGUAGCUAAUACCGCAUACGCCCUACGGGGGAAAGCAGGGGAUCGUAAGACCUUGCACUAUUGGAGCGGCCGAUAUCGGAUUAGCUAGUUGGUGAGGUAACGGCUCACCAAGGCGACGAUCCGUAGCUGGUUUGAGAGGACGACCAGCCACACUGGGACUGAGACACGGCCCAGACUCCUACGGGAGGCAGCAGUGGGGAAUUUUGGACCAUGGGGGCAACCCUGAUCCAGCCAUCCCGCGUGUGCGAUGAAGGCCUUCGGGUUGUAAAGCACUUUUGGCAGGAAAGAAACGUCGCGGGCUAAUACCCCGUGGAACUGACGGUACCUGCAGAAUAAGCACCGGCUAACUACGUG